UCCUCGUUAGUAUAGUGGUGAGUAUCCCCGCCUGUCACGCGGGAGACCGGGGUUCCCCGACGGGGAG
RNAcentral lists this transfer RNA (67 nucleotides) under Sphaerodactylus townsendi. RNAcentral's name for it is "tRNA-Asp". It matches the Rfam family "tRNA". Rfam says of the family: Transfer RNA (tRNA) molecules are approximately 80 nucleotides in length. Their secondary structure includes four short double-helical elements and three loops (D, anti-codon, and T loops). Further hydrogen bonds mediate the characteristic L-shaped molecular structure. tRNAs have two regions of fundamental functional importance: the anti-codon, which is responsible for specific mRNA codon recognition, and the 3' end, to which the tRNAs corresponding amino acid is attached (by aminoacyl-tRNA synthetases). tRNAs cope with the degeneracy of the genetic code in two manners: having more than one tRNA (with a specific anti-codon) for a particular amino acid; and 'wobble' base-pairing, i.e. permitting non-standard base-pairing at the 3rd anti-codon position. The record is from RNAcentral. Lineage: Eukaryota; Metazoa; Chordata; Lepidosauria; Squamata; Sphaerodactylidae.